CAGAGGGUGCAAACGUUGUUCGGAAUUACUGAGCGUAAAGCGCGUGUAGGCGGCUUGGCAAGUCGGGUGUGAAAGCCCCGGGCUCAACCUGGGAAGUGCACUCGAAACUGCUUGGCUUGAGUACUGGAGAGGGAAGCGGAAUUCUCGGUGUAGAGGUGAAAUUCGUAGAUAUCGAGAGGAACACCGGUGGCGAAGGCGGCUUCCUGGACAGUUACUGACGCUGAGACGCGAAAGCGUGGGGAGCAAACAGGAUUAGAUACCCUGGUAGUCCACGCCGUAAACGAUGGGUGCUAGGUGUCGCGGGCAUUGACCCCUGCGGUGCCGUAGCUAACGCAUUAAGCACCCCGCCUGGGGAGUACGGCCGCAAGGCUAA
Molecule: ribosomal RNA, 373 nt
Filed under: uncultured organism
Description: bacterial SSU rRNA
Rfam family: Bacterial small subunit ribosomal RNA
Source: RNAcentral